RNAcentral lists this ribosomal RNA (468 nucleotides) under uncultured bacterium. RNAcentral's name for it is "partial 16S ribosomal RNA". It matches the Rfam family "Bacterial small subunit ribosomal RNA", at positions 28 to 507 of the family's 1533-position model. The record is from RNAcentral.
GACGAACGCUGGCGGCGUGCUUAACACAUGCAAGUCGAACGGAAAGGCCCUGCUUUUGUGGGGUGCUCGAGUGGCGAACGGGUGAGUAACACGUGAGUAACCUGCCCUUGACUUUGGGAUAACUUCAGGAAACUGGGGCUAAUACCGGAUAGGAGCUCCUGCUGCAUGGUGGGGGCUGGAAAGUUUCGGCGGUUGGGGAUGGACUCGCGGCUUAUCAGCUUGUUGGUGGGGUAGUGGCUUACCAAGGCUUUGAAGGGUAGCCGGCCUGAGAGGGUGACCGGCCACAUUGGGACUGAGAUACGGCCCAGACUCCUACGGGAGGCAGAAGUGGGGAAUAUUGCACAAUGGGCGGAAGCCUGAUGCAGCAACGCCGCGUGCGGGAUGACGGCCUUCGGGUUGUAAACCGCUUUCGCCUGUGACGAAGCGUGAGUGACGGUAAUGGGUAAAGAAGCACCGGCUAACUACGUG